Molecule: ribosomal RNA, 505 nt
Filed under: uncultured archaeon
Lineage: Archaea
Description: bacterial SSU rRNA
Rfam family: Archaeal small subunit ribosomal RNA
Source: RNAcentral
GCAAUGCACGAAAGUGUGACGGGGCUACCCCGAGUGCCGUCCGCUGAGGAUGGCUUUUCCUCGGUGUAACUAGCCGGGGGAAUAAGGAGAGGGCAAGACUGGUGUCAGCCGCCGCGGUAAUACCAGCUCUCCGAGUGGUAGGGAUGAUUAUUGGGCUUAAAGCGUCCGUAGCCGGCUUAGCAAGUCUCCUGUUAAAUUCAGCGACCUAAUCGUUGAGCCGCGGGAGAUACUACUAGGCUAGGAGGCGGGAGAGGCCGACGGUACUUCCGGGGUAGGGGUGAAAUCCUAUAAUCCCGGGCGGACCACCAGUGGCGAAGGCUGUCGGCUAGAACGCGCUCGACGGUGAGGGACGAAAGCUGGGGGAGCGAACCGGAUUAGAUACCCGGGUAGUCCCAGCCGUAAACGAUGCGGGCUAGGUGUUGGGGUGGCUACGUGCCACUUCAGUGCCGCAGGGAAGCCAUUAAACCCGCCGCCUGGGGAGUACGGCCGCAAGGCUGAAACUUAA